AUUGAACGCUGGCGGCAGGCCUAACACAUGCAAGUCGAACGGUAACAGGAAGCAGCUUGCUGCUUCACUGACGAGUGGCGGACGGGUGAGUAAUGUCUGGGAAACUGCCUGAUGGAGGGGGAUAACUACUGGAAACGGUAGCUAAUACCGCAUAACGUCGCAAGACCAAAGAGGGGGACCUUAGGGCCUCUUGCCAUCGGAUGUGCCCAGAUGGGAUUAGCUAGUAGGUGGGGUAACGGCUCACCUAGGCGACGAUCCCUAGCUGGUCUGAGAGGAUGACCAGCCACACUGGAACUGAGACACGGUCCAGACUCCUACGGAAGGCAGCAGUGGGGAAUAUUGCACAAUGGGCGCAAGCCUGAUGCAGCCAUGCCGCGUGUAUGAAGAAGGCCUUCGGGUUGUAAAGUACUUUCAGCGGGGAGGAAGGGAGUAAAGUUAAUACCUUUGCUCAUUGACGUUACCCGCAGAAGAAGCACCGGCUAACUCCGUG
This 490-nucleotide ribosomal RNA is filed under the name uncultured bacterium. Its description in RNAcentral is "partial 16S ribosomal RNA". It matches the Rfam family "Bacterial small subunit ribosomal RNA", at positions 30 to 507 of the family's 1533-position model. The record is from RNAcentral.